AUGUUUGACGAGUAUUACCGAGUAAAGCCGCAGGUCCUGAAGCUGUCGUACUCGGAUUACUUCUAGAGGUUGGAGCGAUAUCCGACGAACCUGAUCAAGAACAUCUAUCUGGAUACGGAAGAAUUCACCGCAACUCCCGCCCGCAAACGCUCAACUCGCGACGGCGCAACUUCGGCCGGAUGAACUGGCAACAUCUGUGUCAUUCUCGAAGGAUGACCAAGUGAUCUAGAACUAUCGGUUCAGGCGCUUCACUUCCCAGUCGGAAAACGUCGACUUCCUUUCCCGAAUCAACACCCAAUGGCCAAAUCCUUCAAGCCUGAUGAUGGCCAGCAACGAGACCACCCUGUUCUCUACAUCGCUGUCGGACUCCAAAAUGAAGGCCGUGAUGUUAAGCAGCAUAAACAGCAGUUUUAGUAUUAAAAUAAAAAUAAAAAUAGAAAUAAAAUCCACCACAUUUUUCGAAAAUCAUCACUGUAAUGUUAAAUGUUAUUUUUUGUUGCCAUAAAAAGUUUCUUGUUAUAAUAAAAGUAAAAAACUUUUACCGAUACAACGAUUUGUUCCAAAAAUGCAUGGUAGUAUCAAAAACUUUCCAACUUUUAAAUAGAAAAGUUUGAACUUUCUACGAAUAUUCACCAACGCAAACUUUUAAUCCAACGAACGAUCUUUUAAAAUUUACAGUAUUUUUUCUUUGUGUGUAUAAGCAGUUCAUGUAUAAAUGAUCCAGGAAGCUGUAAAAAAAAUUAAACGCAAUUUAAAAUAAUACUGUUGCCACUGAACUGAUAAUUGAAAAUAAUUGAAAUUACUUCCUACCCACGUCCUGCAUCAUGCACACCUAAAAACGUCAAACAAAAGAAAGACAAAAAUCGCUGCUGCGCCACGAAUCGCCUCCACUGCUGGCACUGAACCCGCAAUUUUUGGAGUGUUAACAUUCAAACAAAAAACAUUAGCAUUAAUUGAGCAUUAAACAAACAUUGCCACAAAAUCCGCUUUGUAAAUGCCACCCCGAUACUCUUCAAGAGGUUUCGCUUAGGGUAACUGGGAAAGAUAUACUUUUUACCAAAAUGUCCACCAAAUUUCCAUACAAACAUACAAAAAAGAACAAAUCAAAUCAUAACAGCAAUGAAACAUAUCAAAUUUCAAGUAUUCCAAAUGAUUGCACAUCUGUCAACAAUAUUUAUAAGGGGUUUCACAUAAAUUACACCAACAAUAACGAUUAUUCUUGCAAAACAAUCUUCAAUCACCAUUUCAAACGCACUUUAAACUGUUUGUUUACAUAAGUAAAUAAUCUAAACAACACAACACUUCUCCCAACACAAAUUUGACAACGGAAAUCAGCAGCCGCCGAUUCAAUAACAACACCCACCGAAGCUCGUUGAAAACUGACUGAAAUGUCAAAUUCGAAAUAAAUUCCUUCAGAUGCAAACCGCCACGGCAAUCAGCCAUUGGCUCGCCGCGGCGAUUGAGGGGCGAACGAUAUUGAAACAUUUCAGCGAUCAGUUUGAACCGCCCAGGCGAUGCGCCCAUAGCACGCAAAGGCGGAUGGAGGGCGGACGAAAUUAAAAAAUUUCAAACGUCAAAUUUCAACCGCCGAUGCGUAACGUCCGCACUGAGUUAAUGUGGGCUGGAGCGGGAUCUGUUCGAGUGGUUCCAAAUCUGCGGCCAUUGCCGUUGAAUCAGCGGCAAAAAGUUGCAGAGAAUACAACACCUCCUGGCUACAGUCAGCAACCGAGGGAAAACCAACCAGCAUCAACGGAUGAAGGCAGUAGUUUUCACCACAAGAACUUCUGAACAUUUUCUUCGAGAUGACAACAACACUGCGUGGUUGCAAAACUUGUGCGGAACAAGCAGGGGGAUGCUAAAGGCCGCCAACUUGGGUGAUUGAGAUUGAUAACGCGUGCAAACUGCGCACAGUGAAAACAAAAAUAUUUUUGUUAUUAAUUAUUCAAUUUCUGUUAUAAGAAUUACUGUAGUAAAAGUAAAAUUACACAGUAGUUAAGUAUAACGUUUCAUGUGAUAAAAGUACAACUUUUAAUGAGGUCAUGCUUAAUAAUCCCAACUUUAGUAGUUUACUUUGCAAAUAAAUUGAUAAAAAUCACAUAAAAAAAUCACUAACUUUUAAACGUACAUUGCUGUAAAAUUUUACAAUUAAAUUAUUUUUUACCCAGAUGUUUUCGAUUCAAUGCAAAAAUGUAAACCAAUUUUAAGUAAAUAUAUGAAUGUGAACAAAUCAAAUCAAAAAAUCAAAAUCAAAUUAUUCGCUCUACAGCAUUGCCUUGGCGUUCUCGAUUGCGAGAUUCCUACUCGAAACUAGGUGUUCGAAGGCUUGAUUGUUGAGGCAAUUGCAAACCUCUUUUUACACCUUAGCUUCCAUCCACCCUGGGAUUCGAACUGACGGCCUUUGGAUUGUUAAUCCAACUGCCUACCAGCGACUCCACCGAGGCAGGACCCAGGGAGACGACUUCUACACCUGGACUGAGCUAACGACCUAACCUUUUUAGGUUAGUCCGGGGCCAACAUUUACUUCCCGUCCGACGGAAGGCGUGAUCAGACAAAUCUCGUCUCGAAAAAUGCCACCGGGACCGUCUGGGAUCGAACCCAGGCCGACUGGGUGAGAGGCAAUCACGCUUACCCCUACACCACGGUCCCGGUGGCAUUUUUCGAGACGAGAUUUGUCUGAUCACGCCUUCCGUCGGACGGGAAGUAAAUGUUGGCCCCGGACUAACCUAAAAAGGUUAGGUCGUUAGCUCAGUCCAGAUGUAGGAGUCGUCUCCCUGGGUCCUGUCUCGGUGGAGUCGCUGGUAGGCAGUUGGACUAACAAUCCAAAGGUCGUCAGUUCGAAUCCCGGGGUGGAUGGAAGGUAAGGUGUAAAAAGAGGUUUGCAAUUGCCUCAACAAUCAAGCCUUCGAACACCUAGUUUCGAGUAGGAAUCUCGCAAUCGAGAACGCCAAGGCAAUGCUGUAGAGCGAAUAAUUUGAUUUGAUUUUGAAAUUAGUGCACAUGUUUGCAGACCUUCUAAAAAAAAAUUUUUUUUGUAGAGCUGAGAAAAUUCUCUAUAAUUUUCUUUAUUGAACUUUGUUGAUACGACCUUAAGUUACUGAGAUAUUGCCAGCACGGUGCUCAAAAUACCGUUAUUAUGAAAAAAAUAUGUGUUCGAUAGCUGGACCAUACCGGCACUUAAACCCUGGACGGAGUGGUAGUAUGGUCAAGCAGUGGACAGAUUCUCCAUCUGAUCUACGGGCAUGAGGUUGAGGUAGUGUUAAGCGCGAUCUCUUCUAUCCACACUAUCUUCUCCAUAUUUCUAGGGGAUUCUCUGCUACUUUCUGGGAAAGGGUUAUGACAGCAAAAUCCAUCUACACGAGCCGAAGGCCCAGAGAUCUCCGCGGGUUGGGGAUCGGAGGUAACAACUGUUCAGGGACUGAUCUGAUCAGUCAGUCUGGACCACUGUGGCCAACGGUAAGGAUGACCGCGCCGCGCCGUAUUUUAACUCGUUUAAUGUAAAUUGUAUCGUUUAGUCUGAGUGCUGUAAAUAAAGCUGUUAUUGUGUACUUUGUGUUAAAUGUAACAGCGGGUGUUUCAUUUGGCUGCACGAUGACCAGAACCAGGGAAGAAGCAGCACAACACCACCUCUAAACGGCCAAGAACUCAGCACAACUCCAAGGCAA
Molecule: long non-coding RNA, 3662 nt
Organism: Culex pipiens pallens (northern house mosquito)
Lineage: Eukaryota; Metazoa; Arthropoda; Insecta; Diptera; Culicidae
Exons: 3
Source: RefSeq, a predicted model, not a curated record